Molecule: ribosomal RNA, 460 nt
Filed under: uncultured bacterium
Lineage: Bacteria
Description: partial 16S ribosomal RNA
Rfam family: Bacterial small subunit ribosomal RNA
Source: RNAcentral
CCUACGUGUGGCAGCAGUGAGGAAUAUUGGUCAAUGGGCGCGAGCCUGAACCAGCCAAGUAGCGUGAAGGCUGACUGCCCUACGGGUUGUAAACUUCUUUUAUAAAGGAAUAAAGUUCGGCACAUGUGCCUUUUUGUAUGUAUUUUAUGAAUAAGGAUCGGCUAACUCCGUGCCAGCAGCCGCGGUAAUACGGAGGAUCCGAGCGUUAUCCGGAUUUAUUGGGGUUAAAGGUAGAGUAGAGGGGUUGUUAGGUCAAGUGUGAAAGUGUGCGGCUCAACCGGAAAAUUGCAAUUUAUACUGGCAGCCCUGAGUACAGGUGAGGGUGGCGGGAAUAGGUGUGUAGCGGUGAAAUGCUUAGAUAUCACGAAGAACUCCGAUUGCGAAGGCAGCCUACUAAACUGCCACUGACAUUGAUGCUCGAAAGUGUGGGUAUCAAACAGGAUUAGAUACCCUUGUAGUC